Molecule: ribosomal RNA, 1347 nt
Filed under: metagenome
Description: bacterial LSU rRNA
Rfam family: Bacterial large subunit ribosomal RNA
Source: RNAcentral
UGAAUACGAGACGCUAAGGCGUCGAAGUAGUGUAUGUCAGACUUCCAAGAAAAGCUCGCACUGUCAUAGGUAAAAAAUGCCUGUACCAUAACCGACACAGGUGGGUAGGUAGAGUAUACUAAGGGGCGCGAGAUAACUCUCUCUAAGGAACUCGGCAAAAUGACUCCGUAACUUCGGGAGAAGGAGUGCCUUAUUUAUAAGGUUGCAAUAACAAGAUCCAAGCAACUGUUUACCAAAAACACAGGUCUCCGCUAAGUCGUAAGACGAUGUAUGGGGGCUGACGCCUGCCCAGUGCCAGAAGGUUAAAGAAGUUGGUUAGCAUUCGCGAAGCUGAUAACUGAAGCCCUGGUGAACGGCGGCCGUAACUAUAACGGUCCUAAGGUAGCGAAAUUCCUUGUCGGGUAAGUUCCGACCCGCACGAAAGGCGUAAUGAUUUGGAUACUGUCUCGGAGAGAGGCUCGGUGAAAUAGACUUGUCUGUGAAGAUGCGGACUACCUGCACCUGGACAGAAAGACCCUAUGAAGCUUUACUGUAACUUGAAAUUGAAAUUGGACUUUAGCCGCGCAGCAUAGGUGGGAGGCGUUGAGAAUAUUCUUGCGGGAAUAUAGGAGCCAUCAGUGAGAUACCACUCUUCUAAUGUUAGAUUUCUAACCUUGAACCAUUAUCUGGUCAAGGAACAGUUUCAGGCGGGCAGUUUGACUGGGGCGGUCGCCUCCCAAAUGGUAACGGAGGCGUACAAAGGUUUCCUCUGAACGGAUAGAAAUCGUAUCUAGAGUAUAAAGGCAUAAGGAAGCUUGACUGUGAGACUUACAAGUCGAGCAGGGACGAAAGUCGGUCUUAGUGAUCUGACGGUACUGAGUGGAAAGGCCGUCACUCAACGGAUAAAAGUUACUCUAGGAUAACAGGCUGAUCUCCCCCAAGAGUUCACAUCGACGGGGAGGUUUGGCACCUCGAUGUCGGCUCAUCGCAUCCUGGGGCGGUAGUACGUCCCAAGGGUUGGGCUGUUCGCCCAUGAAAGCGGUACGCGAGCUGGGUUCAGAACGUCGUGAGACAGUUCGGUCCAUAUCCGGUGUAGGCGUUAGAAUAUUGAGAGGAGCCUUCUUUAGUACGAGAGGACCGAGAAGGACAUACCUCUGGUGUACCAGUUAUCGUGCCAACGGUAAACGCUGGGUAGCUAGGUAUGGAGUGGAUAACCGCUGAAAGCAUCUAAGUGGGAAGCCCACCUCAAGAUGAGUAUUCUCAUCACGUAAGUGAGUAAGGUCACGGUAAGACUAACCGUUUGAUAGGCAUUAAGUGUAAGCGCAGUAAUGCGUGUGCUGAGAUGUGCUAACAGACCGAGGACUUGAC